RNAcentral lists this ribosomal RNA (433 nucleotides) under uncultured bacterium. RNAcentral describes it as "partial 16S ribosomal RNA". It matches the Rfam family "Bacterial small subunit ribosomal RNA", at positions 29 to 507 of the family's 1533-position model. The record is from RNAcentral.
AACGAACGCUGGCGGCAUGCCUAACACAUGCAAGUCGAACGAUACCUUCGGGUCUAGUGGCGCACGGGUGCGUAACGCGUGGGAACCUGCCCUUAGGUUCGGAAUAACUCCCCGAAAGGGGUGCUAAUACCGGAUAAUGUCUUCGGACCAAAGAUUUAUCGCCUUUGGAUGGGCCCGCGUUGGAUUAGCUAGUUGGUAGGGUAAAAGCCUACCAAGGCGACGAUCCAUAGCUGGUCUGAGAGGAUGAUCAGCCACACUGGGACUGAGACACGGCCCAGACUCCGACGGGAGGCAGCAGUGGGGAAUAUUGGACAAUGGGCGAAAGCCUGAUCCAGCAAUGCCGCGUGAGUGAUGAAGGCCUUAGGGUUGUAAAGCUCUUUUACCCGCGAUGAUAAUGACAGCACCGGGAGAAUAAGCUCCGGCUAACUCCGUG